Molecule: long non-coding RNA, 1077 nt
Organism: Grammomys surdaster
Lineage: Eukaryota; Metazoa; Chordata; Mammalia; Rodentia; Muridae
Exons: 4
Source: RefSeq, a predicted model, not a curated record
GCUGUCCACAGGUGCACAGAGGACUGAUCCCCAGAGACCAGUCCCCAGCAGGCCAGCUGAGUAAGCUGGGCAAGAGAUUUGUCACAGGAAUAGAAAUCUGGCUGACAAAGGAAGGUUAGACACAUGGGAAAACACCAGAGGAACACAUGCACAGAAGACAGAUCAUGUGACCAGGUAACAAGAGGGCAGCUGCCUGCAAGCCAAGGAGAGUGGCCUCCCAGGAGCCAAACUUGUUAACACCGUGGUCUCAGAUGUCCAGUCCCUAGAACUUUAACUGGGUAGGAUAAGUCAGCUGGUUUCCAUUGCUGCUGCUGGUGUCAGGAAGCACAGAGCCAAAUGACCAGUUGGAGUGACCUCAGUGCCUGGAGCCAGUCCACAUCGGUGGGAUAGGAUAUUGGAUCAGUAUUGGAGUGGGGGAGUGAUUCCAUGGUUACCACUUUCAGUGAGGAAAGUAAAGUUGGGUUGAGCACUGAGCACUGGGCCCAAGAAGAGAAGCAUAUUGAUAUGUGUGAGCACUACCAAGAACAAAGCCUUCGUGAUAAGGAGAGCAUUGCCGAGGGAGCACUACCCUCUGUUCUCACAAGGAGGGUUACUGCCUACAUGGCCUUGCAAAAGGAGCACACUUCUGAGGGGAGCACUCUUGAGAACACCUCAGAUUUGGAGCACACUGCUCAGGGGAGCACUCUUGUAUCAUUAAGCUCAGGGUGGCUAUCAGCUUCAGGAUGAUGGUAGAAGAUGCUGCCUCAGGGCAGGGCUCCCAGGAUCCAUGAGAUCAUGGGCCAGGCAGUAGCACUUAGUGUUAUCCCUCAAUUCCUCAAGGUGGGUAUAAUUAACAUAAUGGGCUCCAAGUUCCAAACAAGGAGAAGGGACAAGUGUCCUGGUUUUCAGAGCUGUAGGGAAUGGAAGUAAACACCGGAAAAGAUGUUCUCUGGGGCCCAGGGGCCAGGUAACUACUAAGACAAUGCCUCAUAUUGGAAAUUGAGAGCGGGGAAUGGUUUCACAUACAAAUUCCCAUCACAGGACAAAUGUAUAAGCACAUGUGGCAUGCUCAGUCAGGAAUAAAAACACAUGCAUCCA